UACACGCUGUGACUAGCAUAUCAAUAAGCGGAGGAAAAGAAACUAACAAGGAUUCCCUUAGUAACGGCGAGUGAAGCGGGAAGAGCUCAAAUUUGAAAUCUUCAAGGUUUUACCUUGACGAAUUGUAGUUUAAAGAAGUGUUUUCUGUUGAAGUUUUGGUAAAAGUUCUUUGGAAUAGGACAUCAUAGAGGGUGAGAAUCCCGUAUUUGACCAUUAUUUUCAGCUUUGUGAUACACUUUCAAAGAGUCGGAUUGUUUGGGAAUGCAGUCCAAAAUGGGUGGUAAAUUUCAUCUAAAGCUAAAUAUUGGCGAGAGACCGAUAGCGAACAAGUACCGUGAGGGAAAGAUGAAAAGAACUUUGAAAAGAGAGUUAAAUAGUACGUGAAAUUGUCAAAAGGGAAGCGUUUGACACCAGUGUUGUUUUCUGAAAAUCAACCUCUGUUAGCUUUAUGCAUGUUUGUUUAGACCUAAUCAGCUAUCUUGCAUGUUCUAUUGUUUGCAGUGGUGCACUUUUCAGUUUACAGGUCAACAUCAGUUUUUUUUACCGUAAAAAAGUUAAAGAAAGGUAGCUCAUGGCUCCGGUCGUGAGUGUUAUAGUCUUUUUCCUAUGCGGUAGGAGAGACUGAGGUCUGCAGUGUAGGCUAUUUGGCUAGAUACUCAGGUGCUAUGUGAUACCAUUUCAUAAACAACUUGUUGAUUAUGUUUUGUCUAUUGCAUACUCGCUUGUACUAUCAUACCUACGCUUAGGAUGUUGACGCAUGAGAUAUACGC
This 770-nucleotide ribosomal RNA is filed under the name uncultured Neocallimastigales. Its description in RNAcentral is "partial large subunit ribosomal RNA". It matches the Rfam family "Eukaryotic large subunit ribosomal RNA", at positions 22 to 645 of the family's 3401-position model. Lineage: Eukaryota; Fungi; Neocallimastigomycota; Neocallimastigomycetes; Neocallimastigales. The record is from RNAcentral.